This 822-nucleotide long non-coding RNA is filed under the name Equus caballus (horse). Its description in RNAcentral is "lncRNA (ENSECAG00000051765.1)". The record is from RNAcentral. Lineage: Eukaryota; Metazoa; Chordata; Mammalia; Perissodactyla; Equidae.
GGUUCUACUAAGCAGGUUUUAAAGAAGAAUCUGGUCCUCUGGUGUAAUAUGGAUCACACUGAGAAGCAGGUUCAGCCCAUUUGUGGGAAAUUCCAAGCCACAGUACAUCCAGGAGGCAAAUUUUUGAUUUGCGGGAUCCCGCUCAUUCGUUCAGUAAAGCUUUUCAUGUUUGGCCCUGGAGAUAUGAAGAUGAAUAUUAUGGCUUGUCUCACAGGGUUCACAGCCUAACAAGGGUGACCGAACAAAAAACCAUCAUAUUCAAGCCAUCAUCCCAUCCAAAAAUAACCUCAAAUCUGUCCAUUUGUCUCCAUCUUUACUGACCUCAUCCUCAUCAAAGUUACCAUCGUCUCUUGUUUGGACUACAGUAAUGGCCUCCAGCAGUACAGUGUAUUACUGUCCGCCAAAUAUCUCAUUUUCUUUUCCUGCAAUGCCCCUCCCCGGAAGGGUUACAUUCCCUCUCUGUUGAACUCAGGACUGACCAUAAUAAAAAUACAAGUGGAGGUGAUAGGUGACACAUCCAGGCAGAGAUUUUAAAAGCCACUGUAUGGUUUGCUGUGUUCCUUUUCCUGCUGUAGCGACCACCAGUGUUCAAGAUGAUGGCUGGUCCAUCAGCCCAGAUCCUAGAGUGAGUAGACACAGAGUGGAGCUCCUGCUGACCUGCAAUGGUUUGCAGAGCCAUAAAUUUCCUGUCUGCGUUGGGUAUUCCGAGGGAGCACGUUCCAAUCUGCGUUCUGGCCCUCUCUGUCAUCUUUCAUCAGAGCAUCAGAACCAUCAAAACACUAGUGCUGCAAUCUUAUUCUCUUGUUUUUUAAAGCACCAAAG